This 569-nucleotide long non-coding RNA is filed under the name Homo sapiens (human). RNAcentral describes it as "HSALNT0175508". The record is from RNAcentral. Lineage: Eukaryota; Metazoa; Chordata; Mammalia; Primates; Hominidae.
ACCCUCUUUGUCAAUUCACCUUCCUCUAAGUUAACUAUGGCUGCUCCACCUGUCUUUAGGGAAACCUACUCCCCAUCGCGCUGGGUGUUUUGGAGUUUUUAAAAGCGUCGCGGGGUAAAGUCAGUGUUGUGCUUUUCCUUUUCUCAGCAGGGGUGACCCUGGAGAUCAUUACCAAAAUUUAAAAAUUUCACCACUGGGCACACAUGUUACCCUUCUCGUGAUGGCAUGGCAAAGCUUGAUUUGCAAGAGUUUCUUUUGGAUUGUCCCCAAUGAUUCCCUUUAAAAAUAGGAGCUCCUUCAAGCUCCUGUAUCAGCAGUGCUUGCACCUCAUAGGUGAUGAUCAUGAGGGGGACAAGGAGCCUCUAGACUUAAGAGACAAGUUGCCAGCAUUCUCCAGAUGGAGUGUUUCCCUCCGCAGCACCCCCUGCUGGUCAGUUUGACAAGCAGGUGAACAGAAGUUCUCAAAUACACAAUAGUAGAUUCUAUCAAUCAAGUUUCAUAAAGAGUUCUGAUUCCCAGAGCUUGGAUUGUAAGCUCCUCAAGAGCAUGGCUGUGUCCUUUAACAUCAG